Molecule: long non-coding RNA, 1225 nt
Filed under: Anser cygnoides (Swan goose)
Lineage: Eukaryota; Metazoa; Chordata; Aves; Anseriformes; Anatidae
Description: lncRNA (ENSACDG00005006610.1)
Source: RNAcentral
UGCCACCAAAGGGACCCCUCAAAGCAGCCUCGGGGUGCUGGCCAAGAUGGAGAGCAGGGAGAGCAGCCACGGGACACACAGAGAGCCACAGGCUUGGCGAGGAGGGAGCAAGCAGGCUGGCUUCCAGUUAGCCUGGAGAAGAGCCAUGGCUAAAGGAGGAAAAGGUGGUGGUGGUGAUGACAGAAGGUCUUGUCAGAGUGGAGGAUCACACAGCUUUUGGAAGUCACCAUCAGAAUUUCAUCCGUUCGAUGGAUCACAGUUCUGAAGGCACAGAUGUAGCAUAAUGGCUGAAUCUACAAAGAAAUGUGGUGUAAUUGGGAAAGAAGCUAUGUGCCUGUCACUGCAGAGAGCCUGCAAAUAGACCUGAUAAAAAAUUGCCAGCAAGUCAUUUCUCAAGAAAAUAACCUUCUUCAUUAAAAAUCAGAAAAAAGUACUUUUCUGUGUUUCUUCCUUUCACGAAAAAUAUUUAUUUAUUUAUUUCACUUUCUAUUUAUUUUGGACAAAAGCAUCAGGGAGUGGGAAGCAUCUUUUCCAAAAGAGUUCAUUUUCAAAUCUUGGAUCAAGGAUCUCUUGCACCAAAGAAGGGUACCGAGAUAUCUGCUGCACAGCCAACAACCUGCCAACCCCACGUCCAGGUCCUCAUAUAUGGUGAGGAUGUGACAUAUGGCUCAGAAUACCACUUCUCCCUGGUAAAACACAACCCUGAGAUUCACCUCCCAAAAUACUAAAUUAAUUACAAGGCUGAGGUGGAGUAUGCUUGAACAGAAGUCACCUUAUAUCAUUGGUGCCUAACGACACAAAAGACCCAGCUCAUUUUUGCUGCUCUUCUCGGCUCCAGUGGUUUAUUUUAAGCUGGGAAUUAAAGCUUUCCAUCUCAUACCAGCAAACACCUGCUGUUCUUUGAUAGCAGGGCCACUCUCCUGUUUCAAUGCCAAAAGCUGCUGUGGGAACUGUUGGCUGCGUGGUCUUAUCAAGACAUUUAUUGUGGAGCUCCAUGGUAAGUGCACAGGCCAAAUGUGAUUGCUAAUUCAGUAUCUCACCUUGCUUCGAGCUUCCUCCCUGUUGCCUUCACCUGGUCAUGGUCUUUUUCAUCUAAGCUGUAUCAGUUAAUUACAAUGGGGCAAAAUACAUAUUCAUGUGUUUAGGAAGUAGCUUAGCACCAAGUGUGUUUUCUGCAUCUCACUGAAAGUUAAUGGCCAUGAACUUCAUUGUCUGGAGAAUUUAU